Thunnus maccoyii (southern bluefin tuna) is the source of this 1859-nucleotide long non-coding RNA. RefSeq lists it as uncharacterized. NCBI's taxonomy places the organism in Eukaryota, Metazoa, Chordata, Actinopteri, Scombriformes, Scombridae. The record is from RefSeq and is a predicted model, not a curated record. The transcript is spliced from 2 exons.
UACAAUGCUUUCACACAGUUCUAUGUAGUUUUUACCUGUUGCAGGGCUGCGUAUCUGCACACAGAGAGAAAAAAAAAAUAGACCAACUGUGCAAAAAUAGAGAUGAGCCGCGUGUUCAUGGUCAGUGUAGCAGCUUCAGUCGGUUAUAAUGGACAUGCAGACGUGUCAUGCCGUGUCCGUGCCUGCUGUAUUUUGGCCGCUAGUGUGGAGAGAACACUUUUCCAAUUUGAGCAACAGCUGAACGCAGCAGAAUCUACUGUGAUAUUAAUCAAAGCUGUCUAUCUACUCGCCAGUCCUCCAAACAUCCUGCCUCAUCCUCCCUCUGAGAAGUGAAGUAAAAGGAUUUGUACCUUUUGAAAAAGGCACAAUAUUCCCAGAGGCUUCAUUCUGCUGCUGCUGCUGCUGCUCAUGCUGUGAGGCUUUUAGUAGCUUACAGACUGGCUGCGUGUUCAACAGAUGUUAUCAAAGCUUGUUUUAGUUGAAAUCAUCAGUAACACAUUUGACAGACACGCUGUCUGGUAAGUGUUUGAUUAUAUAAGCCUCUUGUCAGGCGGUUGAGUUAGAGUUUGGAGUCCUGGAAGGCACCGGGAGAUGUUUAAUCAGAAAUUCAUGACAUAUUUACAGAUGAAGAGUGCUUCAAAAAUUAAGGCAGUAUGCGGAAUAAUUAUAUUUUUAGGAGCAGUCAUUAUGUUGUCUGUUUACUCAGAGCAUUUAAAGGAAAUCACAGAAAACAGGAGAACUGUGUCACAUUAGGUUCUGUUUCCUGUCAAUCAACCUCACACAGGAAGGACUGGAAAUGAUCGUUUAACAGCAUCGCCUCACUCGCUGUGUCAUAUUUAUUCCUCUUUGUUUAUGGCGUCUUUUCUUGCUGUUCUGUUGUCAUUCAAACACAGUUCUGUUCAUAGUUAGACUACUUACUGUGUGUUUUAGAGUAAACAGUUGUUUUGCAUAUUGAUUUGAUUGUUUCAAGUUAAUUUCUUCUGCUACUCCACGUGUUGGUGGGGUUUUUAACAUCAAAACAAUUUAAAUGUUGGAAAACACUCCAUGAUUUCAUUCUCAGCUAAAUACUAUACAACAAAACACUGUAUUAAUGAUUAAAAAGUAGAAAUUGCUGCACUCUAGUUACCUUAAAAGGUGUUCAAAGACGGCACAAAUUGAAAAACUCAAAGGUUUUGUUGUACAUACUGAAAAGGUGCAAACCUCCAGGCUGUAUGUGACUGAAAAAUCACUCACGUCUUUCAUGGUGUCUUUUCUUGCUGUGGCAACACUUUAUAUGCUUUACAAUGUGAGGUUUUAUUUUUAAAACAACAAAAACAAGGAAGUCUUGAGUUAUCUCUCUGUACAGCUGUUGGUCCAGCUCCACAAUUUGAGGUCAGAAACCUUCCUGUCUCUCCUUCUCUAUUAUGAGUUUCAUCUUUCUAUUCAAUGCUGCUUGCAGCUCCUCUAGUUUUCUCUCUAUAGGGCUUCCUGGAUCUCAUGCACCCAGUCCUCUACCUGUUUCCUCAAAUCCUUUUUUUUUCCUCUGCAGCAUUUGAUGCAGCCCGAGUGGUUUCUUGGCUGAUGAAGCCUUUUCUCCUCUGAUUUCUGGGAAAAGUGCCUCUGUAAUUUCAACAGCUUCUGGGGUUUUCAGUCUGCUCCUGGACAACGAGCCCUUCUCUCUCGGGAGCUGCUAAUUGAGGCCAUCCAGCUUCCCCAUGAAUCCAGCAAACAGUUUCCUCCAGUUUAAUGAUGAAGCUUAAGAGGACGCCAGGUGGCCAUCAUCAUCUUCAACUUACACUUGAAAACCGGAUCACAUUAUCUGGAUCUGUAUAUUUUCUGCAUGUUAUGUGGGACCAGAUGCAUAAAACUAUCUAUAAAUA